GUGAGGAAUAUUGGUCAAUGGGCGAGAGCCUGAACCAGCCAAGUCGCGUGAAGGAUGAAGGUUUUAUGAAUUGUAAACUUCUUUUGCAGGGGAAUAAAGUGCAGGACGUGUCCUGUUUUGUAUGUACCCUGAGAAUAAGGAUCGGCUAACUCCGUGCCAGCAGCCGCGGUAAUACGGAGGAUCCGAGCGUUAUCCGGAUUUAUUGGGUUUAAAGGGUGCGUAGGUGGUUUGAUAAGUCAGCGGUGAAAGUUUGCCGCUUAACUGUAAAAAUGCCGUUGAAACUGUCGGACUUGAGUGUAAAUGAGGUAGGCGGAAUGCGUGGUGUAGCGGUGAAAUGCAUAGAUAUCACGCAGAACUCCGAUUGCGAAGGCAGCUUACUAAGCUACAACUGACACUGAAGCACGAAAGCGUGGGGAUCAAACAGGAUUAGAUACCCGUGUAGUCC
Molecule: ribosomal RNA, 445 nt
Filed under: uncultured bacterium
Lineage: Bacteria
Description: partial 16S ribosomal RNA
Rfam family: Bacterial small subunit ribosomal RNA
Source: RNAcentral